AGAGUUUGAUCCUGGCUCAGAAUGAACGCUGGCGGUAUGCUUAAUACAUGCAAGUCGAACGAAAUAUUUAGCACUUGUGUUAAAUAAUUUAGUGGCGAACGGGCGAGUAACACGUAAGAACUUACCCCUAGGCGGGGUACAACAGUUGGAAACGACUGCUAAUACCCCAUAUUACCGGAAGGUGAAAGAAGCAAUUCUCCUAGGGCGAGGCUUGCGUCUGAUUAGCUAGUUGGUGAGGUAAUGGCUUACCAAGGCGACGAUCAGUAGUUGGUCUUAGAGGAUGAUCAGCCACACUGGGACUGAGACACGGCCCAGACUUUUACGGGAGGCAGCAGUAAGGAAUUUUCCGCAAUGGGCGAAAGCCUGACGGAGCAAUACCGCGUGAAGGAUGACGGGCCAUGGGUUGUAAACUUCUUUUCUUGGAGAAGAAUUCUGACGGUAUCCAAGGAAUUAGCAUCGGCUAACUCCGUGCCAGCAGCCGCGGUAAGACGGGGGAUGCAAGCGUUAUUCGGAAUUAUUGGGCGUAAAGCGUCUGUAGGUGGUGAGGAAAGUGUUUUGUUAAAGAUCAGGGCUUAACCCUGGGAAAGCAGAGCAUACUAUCUCACUUGAGUUCGGUAGGGGCAGAGAGAAUUCCCAGUGUAGCGGUGAAAUGCGUAGAUAUUGGGAGGAAGACCGGUGGCGAAGGCGUUCUGCUGGGCCGUAACUGACACUGAGAGACGAAAGCUAAGGGAGCAAAUAGGAUUAGAUACCCUAGUAGUCUUAGCUGUAAACGAUGCACACUAUGCUUUGCAAUUUGCAGAGCAAAAGCUAACGCGUUAAGUGUGCCGCCUGGGGAGUACAUUCGCAAGGAUGAAACUCAAAUGAAUUGACGGGGACCC
Molecule: ribosomal RNA, 878 nt
Filed under: uncultured cyanobacterium
Lineage: Bacteria; Bacillati; Cyanobacteriota
Description: bacterial SSU rRNA
Rfam family: Bacterial small subunit ribosomal RNA
Source: RNAcentral